ACUGAGCCAAAUGUUUAGUCUUCAGCUGAACUACUGCCAGUGAGCUGCGCUGCAUUCUGGGACCACAGAGCCUCGAGGUACCGUGUUAAACUAUCUCACAUAAGGAUGUGCAGUGAGCUGGACUUCAUAUUCAAUCACCCAAAAGAAAAGUGAAGGAGAAAGCCUACUUUUGCCUGAGCUGGCGUGUUGUGUUGGAUUUGUGAAGUGAGGCAUCUGAAGCAGGCCUUGAAAAACAACCUGAGAACAUGGCUUUGGCAUCGGGGUGAAGUCUGGUCACCUUUGUACAAAUAGGAACAAGUACCAGAUUAAGGGGUAUUUCUGGAAGGUAUCAGGAGUGUCCAUGACCUCACCUCAACUGUGGCCAUCCUCACCUGAUGUUCACAUUAU
This 387-nucleotide long non-coding RNA is filed under the name Chloebia gouldiae (Gouldian finch). RNAcentral's name for it is "Erythrura gouldiae (Gouldian finch) lncRNA (ENSEGOG00005000531.1)". The record is from RNAcentral. Lineage: Eukaryota; Metazoa; Chordata; Aves; Passeriformes; Passeridae.